UUGUGUCAAAAGUCCUCUGGUGAGAGA
Molecule: non-coding RNA, 27 nt
Filed under: Rattus norvegicus (Norway rat)
Lineage: Eukaryota; Metazoa; Chordata; Mammalia; Rodentia; Muridae
Source: RNAcentral